UCUAAUAUGGCAGAAUAGUGCAAUGAAUUUAAGAUUCAUAUAUAAGUUAAACUUUUUUAGAA
RNAcentral lists this transfer RNA (62 nucleotides) under Rhyzopertha dominica (lesser grain borer). RNAcentral describes it as "tRNA-Leu". Lineage: Eukaryota; Metazoa; Arthropoda; Insecta; Coleoptera; Bostrichidae. The record is from RNAcentral.